Molecule: long non-coding RNA, 572 nt
Filed under: Ananas comosus (pineapple)
Lineage: Eukaryota; Viridiplantae; Streptophyta; Magnoliopsida; Poales; Bromeliaceae
Description: long non-coding RNA (ACOM_LNC020804)
Source: RNAcentral
CUAAAAUCUCUCAAAAUUUUAGAGAUAUCUAGUUUAUUGCUAUUUUUUUUUGUUUUCAAUAUAUCCAUCAUUUGUUCGUCUGUUAUUCAAAAAUACCCCAGCACUUACCACCAGUUAAGUUAUCUCGCGUUAAACAACUUUUUUAUCUUUAACUUAAGAGUAAAUAAAAAAAAUUAGUGACAGUAGAAGGUAUAUUUGAAAAAAUAAAAAAUAAAAAUAUUUUUUUGUUCCUAACUUAAGAUAAAGAAGAAAAGUUUGUGACGGCAGAAGGAUAUAUUUGAAAGAACAAAAUAGUAAUUUCACAGAGAUAACGGCUGUUGCUAACCAUUCACGAGAAUUUAACUCUUGAAAUAUAUUUGAAAUAAUUUGGAAUAUAAAAGGGCAUUUUUAAUAUUAGUUUUUUAAGAAAGAUAAUAAAAAAAUUAGAAACUUUUCAGAAAUACAUAAACAAUUUUCCCCAAAAAAAAACACUUUUUUUUUUUGACUAUUUGGUCAAUAAAUUAGAAGAGAGAGAGAGAGAGAGAGAGAGAGAGAGAGAGGGGUAUAAUUAUUUGUAGGAUUGAUUAAUUGUA